RNAcentral lists this ribosomal RNA (432 nucleotides) under uncultured bacterium. RNAcentral's name for it is "partial 16S ribosomal RNA". It matches the Rfam family "Bacterial small subunit ribosomal RNA", at positions 29 to 506 of the family's 1533-position model. The record is from RNAcentral.
AACGAACGCUGGCGGCAGGCCUAACACAUGCAAGUCGAGCGAGGACUUCGGUCCUAGCGGCGGACGGGUGAGUAACGCGUGGGAACGUGCCCUUUGCUUCGGAAUAGCCCUGGGAAACUGGGAGUAAUACCGGAUGAGCCCUUUGGGGGAAAGAUUUAUCGGCGAAGGAUCGGCCCGCGUUGGAUUAGGUAGUUGGUGGGGUAAUGGCCUACCAAGCCGACGAUCCAUAGCUGGUUUGAGAGGAUGAUCAGCCACACUGGGACUGAGACACGGCCCAGACUCCUACGGGAGGCAGCAGGGGGGAAUCUGAGACAAUGGGGGAAACCCUGAUCUAGCCAUGCCGCGUGAGCGAUGAAGGCCUUAGGGUUGUAAAGCUCUUUCAGCUGGGAAGAUAAUGACGGUACCAGCAGAAGAAGCCCCGGCUAACUCCGU